GGGGCAUUGCCCGCUUGGGGUGCAGGAUGGUCUUAAUUCUGGCUUCAGGAUGGCAGCAGAGUGGAGAAGAAGAGGGCUUUCCCCAAACUGAGCCUUUGUAAUCAGGGAAUGACACGGCUGCCUCAGUGGGGCUGGAGCAGGCUAAGGAGUGUCUGAGGCAGCGCUGGGUGGGAUAAUUAAACAGUACUGACACCUGCUCCCCCACCGAAGGCGAAGGCACAGGCUGCCUAAUAUUUAUCCAAUUGAAGGGGAUGAGGCAAAUCUUGCCUCCUGGAGGCCUGUCUCCUUUGUCUGCGGAGCUGCAGCCCCCUCUCCCCAGGAGGCUUCAUUCUCCUCCAGAGUGAUUUCAGGGGCGGUCUGCUUGGGAGGGAACCAGCAAGUCCCCACUCCCUGCUCACAAGCAAGCUCUGUGCCCUGCCUCCCGGCACCAGCCAAUGCCAAGAGUUUCUAGACCCCCCUUCUAGAAGUGGCCUAAGUUCCUGAGGCUUAGCAUGAGAAAGCAGCCCGCAUCCUUCCAAGGAACUAGUCAGGCAGGAGCCAAGGAUACCAGGUCUCAGAGGUGUUGCAGGGAGUUGCUGUUUUUUAAAUGUAAUAGGAAAUAAGCAAAAGGCAUAAAAACAACAGAAGAUGUGAGUACCCGCCACCCAGCUUAAACUAUAAAACGCCAAUUCUCCUUUCCCCUCAGAAGAAGCCACUUAAGGUUGCAUUUCUACUUACCGCACAGGGAUGGGCGUAACUGAGAGUUCUUUUAGUGCCCUCUCUGGGUGUAACACUGCGCUGAGCUCCGAAGAGGAUACAAAAGAGGACAAGGAUGUGGGAGACGACCACAAAGAGAUAAGGAAUCAUUGGAGGAGAGACCUGUGGUGUUCCCACUGUAAAUGGAGCAAUCUGAGCAAAAUGCAUCACAAACUGAGAAGUGCAGGGGCCUGCAGCUACGGCGUGGAGCCUGCAGGAGAACAGCUCAGGGGGAAGGAUGAAGCUGACUGGUCGAGCAUCCUGCCUGCUGACGCACCGGUGGAUUUUUGCUUCUGGUCAUUUCGGCUCCUGGACUCCAGUCCAACGAGAGGCCUCUUAUCAACAGCAGCAGUCCUGCUGCCCAGCAGACCUCUCCCAGAGCCUUCCGGAUAUGGUUAACCUCUGUCAAGCAAGGGGUUUUUUGAACUCAGAGGCAGAGCCACUCAGCUGGGACAUCAGGAAAGCAGCAUGGCUGGCAGAUGCUGCGUGCGUUUAAGUUGGAAAUAGAGGGUUGUCGAGAACACAGAGAGCUCCAAUGUAGGCUUGUUAAAGUUACUGUGGAGAACUGCUCAAAAGUUCAUUUUGAUAGCCAUUCCUUAGGUCUAAAUGCACCUGCAUAUUAUGCUAGAAUACAUUCUUUCCUUUCUCCCUCACAGCGGUUCCCUUGUAAGUUCAAAAGUCUGUUGUCUCUUCAACUAUGAAGCAAUCACUUUAUCACUGUCUUUAGAGAUUGCACAAUCUGGGGUUGUGUGGUUUCCCGUGUCUCACUCUCUGGAAGGAACUUGUCAUUUGAGUUUUUAGAUUUUUCAUAUCUUCCCCACUCCAUAUCUCUUGUGCUCCAGCUUCUCAUUUAAAGAGAAAAACAGUUACACAGUCCUCAUCCUUUUUGCCUAGCUGAAUUAUAAAUUACUGAAACAAGAUGUCUUUACUUACCUUACUUGUUAUUUGGGAAAAAUCUCUCUUACACUCAAAUAAAUGGGUUUUUAUAUUGUCAAAUUUUCCUUUUCUUAAACAAAAAAUUUCAACAUAUUUCUGUUAGAGUUGAAGAAACCAUUAAUUUGGCAGGCCAGAAUAGACUAGGGUGUCGAAUCUGUGGUAUCUAUUCCUUUGAGUAGUCCAUCGUGAUAGUUCUACAUUCGAUUUUUCUUUCUACUUAAAAAUAAACAAGGAGAAGGAUUAACUUAAGAGUUUUUAUUCAUAACAUUGUGUUCAAUUUCCAUGCUUUAAAAAGAAAAUGGAGGCAGUAUAUGUCACAAUUGAAAUGGAAAACUUUUCUUUUAAAAUUCUAGCCAAGAAAAAACAAAGUUCUAGAAGCUUGUCUUGGCAACAAAUUAUGUGACCUUCAAUAAUCCGUUUGACCUUCAGUGCUUCAGUUUAUUCUGACAAAUGAAGUCACUGGAUGAGAAAACUGUUAAUGCCCCUUUCCAUUUUAAAAUUCUACAAUUCUGGGAUGUAUUAUCUUUGGAAACUACAUCUUUGAGAACAAAAUUCCCAUGGAACAAACUCUUCAUAUCUUACUAAUAGCCUGAUUUUUGCUCUCCCCAAAUGACAUUUUAUAUCAACUCAGCAGCAAAAUUCUUUUUUGUCUCCCACAGCCACAUUGUGAGGAGAAAAUGAAAAUAUUUAUUUACCCCAAACAUAUAUCAGUGAUAAUUUGCCUAAGCUGUUUAGGGAAUAUUAACAAGCACAAUACUACAUGGUGGUGUGUAACAAAAAGAGGUCAUCGGACAGAUAUGCUAAUGCAAGAAGCAUGGCUCUGAUCAUUAAUAUAUUCAGGGAUGGUCUUCAGUUGUCCGUGGAGUCCUUGACGUUACAUUUCCCACUAAAACAUUCCUCUGACUCUUUGGUAUAACUUGUGCUUCAAAUUAAAACUUUGCACUUUCAGUCAAGAUAGCGGCUCUUAUGUUCUUACCUAGGUAAUUAGGGCAAGUGUCAGUAUACUGGAGGGUUUGAGUUAACGCAGUUAAUUAUGGGGCUAUAGAUCUUCAUGGUACAGUCUCCAGUCGAGCUCGCUCUGAAGUCUUUUACCAGAUCAAGGCUUUUCAGUCUGUAUCCAUACACAGUUGAAACGACUAAUCAAUUCAGUGAAAACGAUCGGCCAAUUUCAGCUACACACCAGUGAUAUAUGCCACUGGUACUGGGCACAAUAUAAAGACAGAAAGAUUACCCAUAUUUUCAGUUACUUGUGAAAUAUUAUGGUUUUAAAAAAUAAAUAAUUGCAUUUUGGAAGAAACUUUAUGGCUUUUUGCCUACAUCCAUGGUAUACAUAUGCCACUAUAUAAGAGUUUCACUGUGUUCAUGUCAAUAAAAUUUUUCUAAAUUUCGCAUUUAGACUAUUUGUAUAUUCCCAUCCUAAAAUGCUGAAAAAGUUACCUCUGUAAUAUAGAGUUUUGUGUAAACUUUACAAAUCUUUGUCUUAGGGCAAGCAUGUCCUAUAAAAUGGGGGUUA
Non-coding RNA from Vicugna pacos (alpaca), 3184 nucleotides. The record is from RefSeq and is a predicted model, not a curated record. Lineage: Eukaryota; Metazoa; Chordata; Mammalia; Artiodactyla; Camelidae.